UGCAAGUCGAACGGUAGAAGGUCUUCGGACUUUUGAGAGUGGCGAACGGGUGAGUAACACGUAGGUAAUCUGUCUUAGGGGUUGGGGAUAGCCCAUGGAAACAUGGGGUAAUACCGAAUAGCUCCCUUUCAGCACAAGCGGGAAGGGGGAAAGGCGCUUAGGCGCCGCCUUAGGGUGAGCCUGCGGUCCAUUAGUUAGUUGGUGGGGUAAGAGCCUACCAAGGCAGCGAUGGAUAGCCGGCCUGAGAGGGUGAACGGCCACACUGGGACUGAGACACGGCCCAGACUCCUACGGGAGGCAGCAGCUAAGAAUCUUCCGCAAUGGGCGAAAGCCUGACGGAGCGAUGCCGCGUGAGUGAAGAAGGCGGGAACGUUGUAAAACUCUUUUCUCGGGGAGGAAUAAGGAGGGGAGGUAAUGCCCCUUUGAUGACGCGAACCGAGGAAUAAGCCCCGGCUAAUUACGUGCCAGCAGCCGCGGUAACACGUAAGGGGCGAGCGUUGUUCGGAAUUAUUGGGCGUAAAGGGCGUGUAGGCGGCGAUGUAAGCCUGGUGUGAAAGACUUCAGCUUAACUGGAGAGCCGCGCUGGGAACUAUGUUGCUUGAGUAUAGGAGGGGGAGCUGGAAUUCCAGGUGUAGGGGUGAAAUCUGUAGAUAUCUGGAAGAACACCGGAGGCGAAGGCGAGCUCCUGGCCAUAUACUGACGCUGAGGCGCGAAAGCGUGGGGAGCGAACAGGAUUAGAUACCCUGGUAGUCCACGCUGUAGACGUUGUGCACUAGGUGUCGGACUUACGGGUUCGGUACCGAAGUUAACGCGAUAAGUGCACCGCCUGGGGAGUAUGCUC
This 841-nucleotide ribosomal RNA is filed under the name uncultured organism. RNAcentral's name for it is "bacterial SSU rRNA". It matches the Rfam family "Bacterial small subunit ribosomal RNA", at positions 56 to 887 of the family's 1533-position model. The record is from RNAcentral.